This 469-nucleotide long non-coding RNA is filed under the name Gossypium barbadense (sea-island cotton). Its description in RNAcentral is "long non-coding RNA (GBAR_LNC015627)". Lineage: Eukaryota; Viridiplantae; Streptophyta; Magnoliopsida; Malvales; Malvaceae. The record is from RNAcentral.
UUUGUGUUUGUGUUUGUUCUGAGUUUGUUUGGCUCUACUAUUGUGAAUGGAAAAGUGCAUAAUCAUGCUUAGCAUGCAUUUCAAUGUGUAAGUAUGUACACUAGAUGUCAAAUGAUUAUGAAUUGUCUAAGUGAUCAAUGUCGCACUGUAUGAUAUAGUAAUAAGUACAUUGACUUGAGUGAUAUGCAUGUCUAUUGUAUGCGAAGUAUAAAGGGAGUUACAUUGUCAGAUUAGUUGUAGUAGGAAUUAACGAUGUGGAAGAAUGGACGGAUAGAUUGAGAAAUGAAAUUUGCGUUAUUUUUUUGUAAUUCGAUUUGGCAUGUGUUGCAAUUGAGUUAGGCAAAGGCCCGACCUUACGGGUGAACACUUCGGUGUUCGAAUUAACAAGGAGGAUUUAAGGUGGAAUGGAUGGGCAACAACGAGAAUGAUGUGUAAGACUAUGUCUGGGCCAUGGCACCAAUCAGAGGGG